RNAcentral lists this ribosomal RNA (274 nucleotides) under uncultured bacterium. Its description in RNAcentral is "partial 16S ribosomal RNA". It matches the Rfam family "Bacterial small subunit ribosomal RNA", at positions 523 to 796 of the family's 1533-position model. The record is from RNAcentral.
CUACGGAGGGUGCAAGCGUUAUCUGGAUUCACUGGGUUUAAAGGGUGCGUAGGCGGGCAGGUAAGUCAGUGGUGAAAUCCUGGAGCUUAACUCCAGAACUGCCAUUGAUACUAUCUGUCUUGAAUAUUGUGGAGGUAAGCGGAAUAUGUCAUGUAGCGGUGAAAUGCUUAGAUAUGACAUAGAACACCUAUUGCGAAGGCAGCUUACUAAGCAUAUAUUGACGCUGAGGCACGAAAGCGUGGGGAUCAAACAGGAUUAGAAACCCCAGUAGUCC